UCGAAUUGAAGGCUGAAAUUCGCCUUCAUGAAGUCGGAAUUGCUAGUAAUGGCAGGUCAGCAUACUGCCGUGAAUACGUUCCCGGGCCUUGUACACACCGCCCGUCACACCAUGAGAGUUGGAGAUACCCAAAGCCUGUGAGCUAACUUUUAGAGGCAGCAGUCGAAGGUAGAAUCAAUGAUUGGGGUGAAGUCGUAACAAGGUAUC
RNAcentral lists this ribosomal RNA (207 nucleotides) under uncultured bacterium. RNAcentral's name for it is "partial 16S ribosomal RNA". It matches the Rfam family "Bacterial small subunit ribosomal RNA", at positions 1293 to 1500 of the family's 1533-position model. The record is from RNAcentral.